UCAUCCUCUCAUAAUAAAAUGAGCUAAGGGUCUUCAGGAAAAUUUUGGUCAUCUCCUUUUCCUCUAAAGGAGGACUGAUCUGAGCAGCGAGUUCUCUCCACCUAUACACAUACUCCUUAAACGUCUCUUUGUCCUUCUGAGAUAGUGAUCUGAACUGAUCUGGGUUAGGAGCCAUAUCAACGUUGUACUUAUACUUCUUUACAAAUGCUUCACCCAAAUCAUUGAAAGUUCG
This 232-nucleotide long non-coding RNA is filed under the name Lathyrus oleraceus (garden pea). Its description in RNAcentral is "Pisum sativum (pea) long non-coding RNA (PSAT_LNC007783)". The record is from RNAcentral. Lineage: Eukaryota; Viridiplantae; Streptophyta; Magnoliopsida; Fabales; Fabaceae.